AACGAACGCUGGCGGCAUGCCUAACACAUGCAAGUCGAACGAGACCUUCGGGCCUAGUGGCGCACGGGUGCGUGACGCGGGGGAACCUGCCCUUGGGUUCGGAAUAACUCCCCGAAAGGGGUGCUAAUACCGGAUAAGGUCUUCGGACCAAAGAUUUAUUGCCUUUGGGUGGGCCUGAGUUGGUUUAGCUGGUUGGUAGGGUAAAAGCCGAGCAAGGGGUGGUUCCAUAGCUGGUAUGAGAGGAUGAUAAGCAACACUGGGGAUGCGACACGGCCCAGAAUCGGACGGGAGGGAGCAGAGGGGAAUACUGGACGAUGGGGGAAGGUCUGAUCAAGCAAUGCCGGGUAAGUGAUGAAGGCCGUAGGGUUGUAAAGUUCUUUUACCCGGGGCGAUAAUGACGGUACCGGGAGAAUAAGCACCGGCUAACUCCGUG
RNAcentral lists this ribosomal RNA (433 nucleotides) under uncultured bacterium. RNAcentral's name for it is "partial 16S ribosomal RNA". It matches the Rfam family "Bacterial small subunit ribosomal RNA", at positions 29 to 507 of the family's 1533-position model. The record is from RNAcentral.